RNAcentral lists this long non-coding RNA (1389 nucleotides) under Pandoravirus celtis. Its description in RNAcentral is "hypothetical ncRNA". The record is from RNAcentral.
CGACAAAAGGCCUCGCGCAGUGCGGCGCUGGUACACCGUGCGCCGCGGUUGACGACAGAGGCAAUAGCGUCCAUUUUUCCACUGGCCACGGCGGCACAGAGGGCGUCCCACUGGUCGUAGGGGGCAAUGCCGUGUUCAUGGAGCAUGUUGCCGAUCAUAUAGUGUCCACGCCGGAGCGCGCCCCGUGCCGCGCCCACGUCGAGUGUCUUGGAGACGUCAGAUCUCUGUAACAGCCACCGUACCGUGCGCGUGCGACCAUUGAGGGCCGCCGCCUGUCCGAUCGCUACGGAUGGCCACGCGGCGACAGGGCGCGUCCGUCCGACCAUAUGCCCGUCGGCGUUGCCCGUGCCGUGCGUGCCCGCAGCCCAUUCGAGCACUUGAACAUGCCCCUCGUGGGCGGCGCAUACAAGGGCGCGCAGCGGACACGCUUGCACGCCGAGACCGUGCACGAGAGCCAGCACAUCAGCGUGUCCACACUCGGCGGCCGUGACAAGGGCGUCGGCGAGGCAUUCAUCGACCUCUGGCCACCUGGCAAUGUCGAGGACGUCGACGAGCCAGCGCGAGACCGCCAUCUUGCCUUGGCGGAUGGACUCGUAGACCGAACGGUGGCACGGGUGGGAAAAGUAGGGCGCCGCGUCGCAUUCCGCCUGGUGCAUCCAUGCCACAAUGUCAGCGCGAUCGUCCUGGACGGCAAUGUCGUAAGCGGCAUGCGGGCAACAGCAUCGUGCUUGCGGCGCGCGAGGCCAGCCUUUGGCUUGACCCCCGCUACCGCCAUUGUGGCGGCGGCGUCGACGACAGAGGUAGCCAAAGGUGGCGGCGCCGGGGGCACUUACGGCCUCGACAGAGAGACAAUCAAGAAGGGCGGCGUCGGGGCUGUUGGUGGUGGUGGAAAGCGCGCAGGCGUUAAGGAGCAGGUCGAGCACAUCGACGUGCCCGCGGUGCGCCGAUUCGCACAGGGCCUCGACCAGCGGACCCGCCUGCUGGCGCGAGUAGGCAUUGACGCCCCAUCGUCUGUGGAUUCGCUCAUAGGACGCAGGCUCGCGCUUGCGCUUGGCUCUGACAAUGGUGGUGUUGUUAUCAGGGCUUUCAUACGCGAUGACCGGGCGACAUCUGAGCAUGGCGGGCAGGCCAGCCUGCGCGAGCACCCACUCGACGACAUCGCGGCGUCCCCCACAGGCCGCGGCUUCAAUGUGAUCCGGCAGGACCUGCUCGUGGCGACGCGAGGCCACACACUGUAUGGCGUCGAGCGGCGCACCCACCUCCAUGAAGCGCUCGAUCGUCGAUGAGGGGCAUAAAGAGGCGGCGGCGCGCGACAAGGGUUCGACGGCCAAGAGCGACGAGGCUGUGGCGCACGCCACGCGGUCGCGCAGCGACGACACGUGGCCCAGG